CGUAGGCAGCAAGCGUUGUUCGGAGUUACUGGGCGUAAAGGGUGUGUAGGCGGUUGUUUAAGUUUGGUGUGAAAUCUCCCGGCUCAACUGGGAGGGUGCGCCGAAUACUGAAUGACUAGAGUGCGGGAGAGGAAAGUGGAAUUCCUGGUGUAGCGGUGAAAUGCGUAGAUAUCAGGAGGAACACCGGUGGUGUAGACGGCUUUCUGGACCGUAACUGACGCUGAGACACGAAAGCGUGGGUAGCAAACAGGAUUAGAUACCCUGGUAGUCCACGCCCUAAACGGUGCAUAUUUGGUGUGGGCAGUUCAUUCUGUCCGUGCCGGAGCUAACGCGUUAAAUAUGCCGCCUGGGGAGUACAGUCGCAAGGCUG
Molecule: ribosomal RNA, 370 nt
Filed under: uncultured organism
Description: bacterial SSU rRNA
Rfam family: Bacterial small subunit ribosomal RNA
Source: RNAcentral